RNAcentral lists this ribosomal RNA (460 nucleotides) under uncultured bacterium. Its description in RNAcentral is "partial 16S ribosomal RNA". It matches the Rfam family "Bacterial small subunit ribosomal RNA", at positions 338 to 795 of the family's 1533-position model. The record is from RNAcentral.
CCUACGGGUGGCAGCAGUGAGGAAUAUUGGUCAAUGGACGAGAGUCUGAACCAGCCAAGUAGCGUGAAGGAUGACUGCCCUCUGGGUUGUAAACUUCUUUUAUAUGGGACUAAAAUGUUACACGUGUGGGAUUUUGUAUGUACCAUAUGAAUACGGAUCGGCUAACUCCGUGCCAGCAGCCGCGGUAAUAAGGAGGAUGCGAGCGUUAUCCGGAUUUAUUGGGUUUAAAGGGAGCGUAGGUGGAUUGUUAAGUCAGUUGUGAAAGUUUGCGGCUCAACCGUAAAAUUGCAGUUGAAACUGGCAGUCUUGAGUACAGUAGAGGUGGGCGGAAUUCGUGGUGUAGCGGUGAAAUGCUUAGAUAUCACGAAGAACUACGAUUGCGAAGGCAGUUCACUGGACUGCAACUGACACUGAGGCUCGAAAGUGUGGGUAUCAAACAGGAUUAGAUACCCCGGUAGUC